GAUGAACGCUGGCGGCGUGCUUAACACAUGCAAGUCGAACGGAAAGGCCCAAGCUUGCUUGGGUACUCGAGUGGCGAACGGGUGAGUAACACGUGGGUGAUCUGCCCUGCACUUCGGGAUAAGCCUGGGAAACUGGGUCUAAUACCGGAUAGGACCACAUUUUGGAUGGUGUGGUGGAAAGUUUUUCGGUGUGGGAUGAGCUCGCGGCCUAUCAGCUUGUUGGUGGGGUAAUGGCCUACCAAGGCGUCGACGGGUAGCCGGCCCGUGAGGGGGUAAGGCCACAUUGGGAGAGAGAGACGGGCCAGAGUCCUCCGGGGGGCAGAAGUGGGGAAUAUUGCACAAUGGGCGCAAGCCUGAGGCAGCGACGCCGCGUGGGGGAUGACGGCCUUCGGGUUGUAAACUCCUUUCGCUAGGGACGAAGCGUUUUUGUGACGGUACCUGGAGAAGAAGCACCGGCUAACUACGUG
Molecule: ribosomal RNA, 467 nt
Filed under: uncultured bacterium
Lineage: Bacteria
Description: partial 16S ribosomal RNA
Rfam family: Bacterial small subunit ribosomal RNA
Source: RNAcentral